ACGGCUACCUUGUUACGACUUCACCCCAGUUACCGGACCUGCCUUCGGCAGCUCCCUCCAAAUGGUUGGGUCACUGACUUCGGGCAUUUCCGACUCCCAUGGUGUGACGGGCGGUGUGUACAAGACCCGGGAACGUAUUCACCGCGGCAUUCUGAUCCGCGAUUACUAGCGAUUCCGGCUUCGUGCAGCCGGGUUGCAGGCUGCAGUCCGAACUGGGACGCUGUUUCUGGGAUUUGCUCCCCCUCGCGGGCUCGCCUCCCUCUGUUUACGCCAUUGUAGCACGUGUGUAGCCCAGGCCAUAAGGGGCAUGAUGAUUUGACGUCAUCCCCGCCUUCCUCCGGGUUAUCCCCGGCAGUCUCCCCUGAGUGCCCGGCUUUCCCGCUGGCUACGGGGGAUAGGGGUUGCGCUCGUUGCGGGACUUAACCCAACAUCUCACGACACGAGCUGACGACAACCAUGCACCACCUGUCUCUUCCGCCCCGAAAGGAACACGGCAUUACCCGUGCGUCAGAAGGAUGUCAAGGCCUGGUAAG
Molecule: ribosomal RNA, 533 nt
Filed under: uncultured bacterium
Lineage: Bacteria
Description: partial 16S ribosomal RNA
Source: RNAcentral